Pimephales promelas (fathead minnow) is the source of this 1432-nucleotide non-coding RNA. NCBI's taxonomy places the organism in Eukaryota, Metazoa, Chordata, Actinopteri, Cypriniformes, Leuciscidae. The record is from RefSeq and is a predicted model, not a curated record.
CGGAGAUGAUUUCACGUCUGGCCAGGGCCACGUCCUCUUUGCGGCCGGUGAUGAGGAAGACUGGUUCUUCGCCUCUGACGGGGGUCUUGAUGUCAAAAGGUCACGCAUGUGCUGAAUCUGCAGCAGAACUCAUUCACAAAGUUUUUCAUGUUCUGCAUCUCUCGAGUGUAAUUUAUUGACACAUUUGGGAUAAUUUGAUUGUGUUUUCAGGUCUCAUUAAAGGUAUAGUUAACGCAAUAUAUCAUUGACUGUGUUUUAUAAUUUUACCAUGCUCUAAUAUACAAAAGUCAGUCUGGGCCUGCCCUCGCUUUUUCGAUUGUAACCAUUAUAACAAAUACACGUUUUUGUUUUUUUUUCUCAUGAUAAAAAUUAGCAUUGGCUUUACUUUUUUUUUUGUAAACAAUAUAUUAAAAUGAAACGAUUUAGAGAUUAGCAUUGUCUUAUCUAUUGUAUAUACAAAAGUACAAUUAGGAUUGUCUUGCAAUUUGUUGUAUUUGAUUAAACCCACUGAAGCUUAUUCAUAAACCGAAUCAAACCUGCGUUAAUCUUUUUUUCUUUGUCGUUUCUAACUAUUGAUUAUACAACGUGCACUGAAAUUUCUUCAGCUCGUGUUUAAUGAAUGAGGCCCAAAGUGAAUUUAGAAAUGGCUGCUCACUCUUCUCUGUUGUGGUAAUCGUACAAAUCGAUUAAAACAAUGGCUUUGUUUAUUUUUUUUGCUGCAUUACACAGUCGCGGUAAUAUUUUUGCUGUUUAUUCGUAAUAUAGAAAGAAAUGUGUUGGCUGAGAAGUAUUUACCAUAAUAAAUCCUAUUUACCUUAUAAAAAAAUCCAGUCUGCAUUGACGUAUCCUAAUAAAAUUCAAACAACAAAAGCUCCUAAAAAUCCCUGUUGUCUGAAUGACGUCUCCCCUGCAAGAGUGCCAUGUGCUAACAGACAGUCGCAGGUACUAUGAUAUUCAGCACUGAAACAAAUGUGUUUUUAGAUGUAAAUUCCCCAAUUAAUACCCCAUAAAGUUAUUGUUGGCAUCUGAAUUCAUAGCAAGGUGUGGUGCUCCUCCACAGCAUCUGCCUCGUGUGCAGCACCAAAGUAUUUAUUAGCACCUCAGUGGUGUCUUAUCAAGAGUGGGGUGGCUUUCUCCGCCCAGGGGCCUGUUCAGUGGAUAGAUCUCUGCACACUGGUUUCAUGCCUCAUUGUGUAGAGCAGAAGCUAAAAAAAUAACCUGGAUGGACUGUCUAGCACUGACAGCGGGGAGCACAGAUUCCCAUCGUCCCCCUCGCUGCAGGAGCACAUCUCCUAACAGGCAUGGCAGCCACUGCAGGUGAACAAAGCACUGGAACCUCACAGCUCAAAUUCCCAACUAAUGGCGAUAACAAAGAUACAUAAGUGUGCUGCUUUUUUCGCCAUCACUCUCGCUUGUUAUUAUCAGGCCAAAU